GCAAGAUACCACGGGCGCACGGCGGAUGCCUUGGCACAGGGAGCCGAUGAAGGACGCGGCAAGCUGCGAUAAUCCCCGGCGAGGAGCACACAUCCUUCGACCCGGGGGUCUCCGAAUGGGCGAACCCAUCCACGGAAGCGUGGAUAUCCCGACCCCGAACACAUAGGGGCCGGGAGGACAACCCGGGGAACUGAAACAUCUAAGUACCCGGAGGAGAGGAAAUCAAUCUCGAGACUCCCCGAGUAGCGGCGAGCGAAAGGGGACCGAUGGCCAAACCGUCGAGCGGGCAUACCCGGCAGGGGUUCCGCCGACGGGGUUGCAGGGCCGCGCAUCCGGGGGCUGCCGCCCCCGGGCGCAGGUCCGGCUGGGGAGCGGAACGGCAUGGGAGGGCCGGCCGCAGCGGGUGACAGCCCCGUACGCGAACCCAGACCGGACGGCGCGACGCGGUCCCUGAGUAGGGCCGGGCACGUGAAACCCGGUCCGAACCUGGGUGGACCACCAUCCAAGCCUGAGUACUACCCUGUGACCGAUAGCGCACCAGUACCGUGAGGGAAAGGUGAAAAGCACCCCGGGAGGGGAGUGAAACAGUACCUGAAACCGUGCGCCCACGAGCAGUCGGAGCACCUUUAUGGUGUGACGGCGUGCCUUUUGUAGAAUGAGCCAGCGAGUCGCUGGCGCGGGGCGAGGUUAACCGAAAGGGAGCCGGAGCGAAAGCGAGCCUUAACAGGGCGACUUGAGUCCCGCGCCGCGGACGCGAAGCCGGGUGAGCUAUCCGUGGGCAGGCUGAAGCGGGGGUAAGACCCCGUGGAGGGCCGAACGCACGUCGGUUGAAAACGGCGGCGAUGACCUGCGGAUAGGGGUGAAAGGCCAAUCAAACCCGGAGAUAUCUCGUUCUCCCCGAAAUAGCUUUAGGGCUAGCGUCGCGCGUUCACCGCCGGAGGUAGAGCACCGGAUGGACGAGGGGGCUUCGCCGCCUACCGAAUCCAACCGAACUCCGAAUGCCGGCGGCCCAGAGCGCGGCAGUCAGAGCAUGUGGGCUAAGCUGUGUGCUCGAGAGGGAAACAGCCCGGACCGCCCGCUAAGGUCCCCAAGUUCCAGCCGAGUGGCAAAGGAUGUGCGUCCGCCCAGACAACCAGGAUGUUGGCUUAGAAGCAGCCAUCCAUUCAAAGAGUGCGUAACAGCUCACUGGUCGAGUGGACAUGCGCCGACAAUACACGGGGCUAAGCUGGACACCGAAGCGGCGGGAUUUUAAUUCAUUAGAAUCGGUAGGGGAGCUUCCCAUGGGCGGUGAAGCCGCCGGGCGACCGGCGGUGGAGCGCAUGGGAGUGAGAAUGCUGGCAUGAGUAGCGAGAGACGAGAGAGUAACUCGUCCGCCGUGAACCCGAGGUUUCCUGGGCAAGGCUAAUCCUCCCAGGGUCAGUCGGGGGCUAAGGCGAGGCCGGGAGGCGUAGCCGACGCGCAGCAGGCAGACAUUCCUGCACCGCGCACGCGGCGCUACGACCGACGGGGCGACGGAUGGGGGUGGCUCGGCGGGGUUCUGGACGUCCCCGUGAUGGAGCGCGGCCCGCGGACCAGGGAAAUCCGGUCCGCACGAGGGCGAGGCUCCGGACGAAGCGAUCAAGCGAAGCGAGUGAGCCCGAGGUCCCUAGAAAAACCCCUAGGCAGGCGCGUGCGCGCCCGUACCGCAAACCGACACAGGUGGGUGGGUAGAACAUACCGAGGCGAUCGGGUCAACCAUGGUCAAGGAACUCGGCACAAUGGCCCCGUAACUUCGGGAGAAGGGGUGCCCGCGCGUACGUGAACGGACUUGCUCCGGGAGCGGAGGCGGGCCGCAGUGGAGAGGCCCAAGCGACUGUUUACCAAAAACACAGGACUCUGCAGAAGCCGCAAGGCGACGUAUAGGGUCUGACGCCUGCCCGGUGCCGGAAGGUCACGCGGAGGAGUUAGCCGUUAAGGCGAAGCCCCGAAGCCAAGCCCCGGUAAACGGCGGCCGUAACUAUAACGGUCCUAAGGUAGCGAAAUUCCUUGUCGGGUAAGUUCCGACCUGC
Molecule: ribosomal RNA, 2048 nt
Filed under: human gut metagenome
Description: bacterial LSU rRNA
Rfam family: Bacterial large subunit ribosomal RNA
Source: RNAcentral